GCAGCUUAGUGGAAGAGCAUCUGCUUUGAAUGCAGCAGGUCCCAGGUUCAAUCCCUGGCAUCUCCA
This 66-nucleotide transfer RNA is filed under the name Sphaerodactylus townsendi. Its description in RNAcentral is "tRNA-Ser". It matches the Rfam family "tRNA". Rfam says of the family: Transfer RNA (tRNA) molecules are approximately 80 nucleotides in length. Their secondary structure includes four short double-helical elements and three loops (D, anti-codon, and T loops). Further hydrogen bonds mediate the characteristic L-shaped molecular structure. tRNAs have two regions of fundamental functional importance: the anti-codon, which is responsible for specific mRNA codon recognition, and the 3' end, to which the tRNAs corresponding amino acid is attached (by aminoacyl-tRNA synthetases). tRNAs cope with the degeneracy of the genetic code in two manners: having more than one tRNA (with a specific anti-codon) for a particular amino acid; and 'wobble' base-pairing, i.e. permitting non-standard base-pairing at the 3rd anti-codon position. Lineage: Eukaryota; Metazoa; Chordata; Lepidosauria; Squamata; Sphaerodactylidae. The record is from RNAcentral.